Mesoplodon densirostris (Blainville's beaked whale) is the source of this 307-nucleotide long non-coding RNA. RefSeq lists it as uncharacterized. NCBI's taxonomy places the organism in Eukaryota, Metazoa, Chordata, Mammalia, Artiodactyla, Ziphiidae. The record is from RefSeq and is a predicted model, not a curated record. The transcript has 3 exons.
AGCAGCCAUGGCUCACGGGCCCAGCCGCUCCACGGCAUGUGGGAUCUUCCCGGACCGGGGCACGAACCCGUGUGCCCUGCAUCGGCAGACGGACUCUCAACCACCGCGCCACCAGGGAAGCCCUGGCAAAGGAUUUUCAUCUACUUUGCCUUAGAUACAUGCUUCUUCUGAUCUUGUGAUCUGAGGUAUCGGAGUCCAUGCAGCAAACCGAUGGCAAGUUCAAGGUGAAAGAAGUCUACAUUUGUUCAUAGUGGCAGAUGAAGUGAGUUUGGUAAGAAAUCCAUGUCCAAUUCUGUGUACUGCAUGC